GAUGAACGCUGGCGGCGUGCCUAAUACAUGCAAGUCGAGCGAACAGACGAGGAGCUUGCUCCUUUGACGUUAGCGGCGGACGGGUGAGUAACACGUGGGUAACCUACCUAUAAGACUGGGAUAACUUCGGGAAACCGGAGCUAAUACCGGAUAAUAUUUCGAACCGCAUGGUUCGAUAGUGAAAGAUGGCUCUGCUGUCACUUAUAGAUGGACCUGCGCCGUAUUAGCUAGUUGGUAAGGUAACAGCUUACCAAGGCAACGAUACGUAGCCGACCUGAGAGGGUGAUCGGCCACACUGGAACUGAGACACGGUCCAGACUCCUACGGGAGGCAGCAGUAGGGAAUCUUCCGCAAUGGGCGAAAGCCUGACGGAGCAACGCCGCGUGAGUGAUGAAGGUCUUCGGAUCGUAAAACUCUGCUAUUAGGGAAGAACAAACGUGUAAGUAACUGUGCACGUCUUGACGGUACCUAAUCAGAAAGCCACGGCUAACUACGUGCCAGCAGCCGCGGUAAUACGUAGGUGGCAAGCGUUAUCCGGAAUUAUUGGGCGUAAAGCGCGCGUAGGCGGUUUUUUAAGUCUGAUGUGAAAGCCCACGGCUCAACCGUGGAGGGUCAUUGGAAACUGGAAAACUUGAGUGCAGAAGAGGAAAGUGGAAUUCCAUGUGUAGCGGUGAAAUGCGCAGAGAUAUGGAGGAACACCAGUGGCGAAGGCGACUUUCUGGUCUGUAACUGACGCUGAUGUGCGAAAGCGUGGGGAUCAAACAGGAUUAGAUACCCUGGUAGUCCACGCCGUAAACGAUGAGUGCUAAGUGUUAGGGGGUUUCCGCCCCUUAGUGCUGCAGCUAACGCAUUAAGCACUCCGCCUGGGGAGUACGACCGCAAGGUUGAAACUCAAAGGAAUUGACGGGGACCCGCACAAGCGGUGGAGCAUGUGGUUUAAUUCGAAGCAACGCGAAGAACCUUACCAAAUCUUGACAUCCUUUGCUCCUUCUAGAGAUAGAAGUUUCCCCUUCGGGGGACAAAGUGACAGGUGGUGCAUGGUUGUCGUCAGCUCGUGUCGUGGGAUGUUGGGUUGAGUCCCGCAACGAGCGCAACCCUUAAGCUUAGUUGCCAUCAUUAAGUUGGGCACUCUAAGUUGACUGCCGGUGACAAACCGGAGGAAGGUGGGGAUGACGUCAAAUCAUCAUGCCCCUUAUGAUUUGGGCUACACACGUGCUACAAUGGACAAUACAAAGGGCAGCGAAACCGCGAGGUCAAGCAAAUCCCAUAAAGUUGUUCUCAGUUCGGAUUGUAGUCUGCAACUCGACUACAUGAAGCUGGAAUCGCUAGUAAUCGUAGAUCAGCAUGCUACGGUGAAUACGUUCCCGGGUCU
RNAcentral lists this ribosomal RNA (1372 nucleotides) under uncultured bacterium. RNAcentral's name for it is "bacterial SSU rRNA". It matches the Rfam family "Bacterial small subunit ribosomal RNA", at positions 28 to 1381 of the family's 1533-position model. The record is from RNAcentral.